Molecule: long non-coding RNA, 549 nt
Organism: Rosa chinensis
Lineage: Eukaryota; Viridiplantae; Streptophyta; Magnoliopsida; Rosales; Rosaceae
Exons: 2
Source: RefSeq, a predicted model, not a curated record
GCUCAACUUGGAUUCCAUUUGCAGUUUCAUACCCUCGUGACCUCGUCACAAAAUCGUCAAUUUUUAUGUGCUGCUGCUCUUAGGAACCGUAGAAUUUACUGGGGGUAUCCCAUACUGUGUGUUUUGUGAAUAUUGGGAUCAUGAUCAUUGAUUGAUAAUAUAUCCAAUGGUCAUGGAUAUUUGAAAAUAGUUAACCUAUUUAGCAAGUAACCUGUUCUUAAAAAAAUAAUAAUAACGAACGCUUGCUUCAGUUCGCUAUCUCAAUCUCAGUCUGACCCUCACAGCCCACGGGUUCUCCAUCUUAUUGGUGUUCCUGAUCAAGCUGAUCAGAAAGAUGAGGUUAUCAGAACAGUAAUGGAUUUUGAAGAAUUCUGAAGUUGAAGACGGCCGGUUAUACUGAGAAUGCUAUUAAAUAUCGGCAGGUAGAUAAUGUGAAAACAUAUAGUAUAUAUAAUUGGAACACACUGUAAUAAUUAUAUGAAAACUUGUUCUGAUGAAAAAAUAGUUCUCCAAGCUUUAUGAUUUAGAUUCAUUUGCUUACUAAUGUGA